Molecule: transfer RNA, 64 nt
Filed under: Cacopsylla picta
Lineage: Eukaryota; Metazoa; Arthropoda; Insecta; Hemiptera; Psyllidae
Description: tRNA-Ser
Source: RNAcentral
AAGCAUAAGAGAUUUUUCCCUUUUCUUACUUUCAAGGUAAGUAUUUUGUAUAAAUUAUUAAGCU